Molecule: ribosomal RNA, 490 nt
Filed under: uncultured bacterium
Lineage: Bacteria
Description: partial 16S ribosomal RNA
Rfam family: Bacterial small subunit ribosomal RNA
Source: RNAcentral
AUUGAACGCUGGCGGCAGGCCUAACACAUGCAAGUCGAACGGUAACAGGAAGAAGCUUGCUUCUUUGCUGACGAGUGGCGGACGGGUGAGUAAUGUCUGGGAAACUGCCUGAUGGAGGGGGAUAACUACUGGAAACGGUAGCUAAUACCGCAUAACGUCGCAAGACCAAAAAGGGGGACCUUCGUGCCUCUUGCCAUCGGAGGUGCCCAGAUGGGAUUAGCUAGUAGGUGGGGUAACGGCUCACCUAGGCGACGAUCCCUAGCUGGUCUGAGAGGAUGACCAGCCACACUGGAACUGAGACACGGUCCAGACUCCUACGGGAGGCAGCAGUGGGGAAUAUUGCACAAUGGGCGCAAGCCUGAUGCAGCCAUGCCGCGUGUAUGAAGAAGGCCUUCGGGUUGUAAAGUACUUUCAGCGGGGAGGAAGGGAGUAAAGUUAAUACCUUGGCUCAUUGACGUUACCCGCAGAAGAAGCACCGGCUAACUCCGUG